GGAGGCGUAUGGGUGCCUGGUGGCCCCCGCGGUCUUCAACACCGACGUGGUCGAGCAACUCGAUCAGGCGGGUUCGAUUCCCGUCCGCCUCCG
RNAcentral lists this transfer RNA (93 nucleotides) under Pseudonocardiales bacterium. Its description in RNAcentral is "tRNA-Sec". It matches the Rfam family "Selenocysteine transfer RNA". RNAcentral also lists the same sequence under 1 other name. Lineage: Bacteria; Bacillati; Actinomycetota; Actinomycetes; Pseudonocardiales. The record is from RNAcentral.